Long non-coding RNA from Cloeon dipterum, 880 nucleotides. RefSeq lists it as uncharacterized. NCBI's taxonomy places the organism in Eukaryota, Metazoa, Arthropoda, Insecta, Ephemeroptera, Baetidae. The record is from RefSeq and is a predicted model, not a curated record. The transcript is spliced from 3 exons.
CUGCACUCAUAUCGGCUUGAUGCGGAGCUAGCCAUCAAAACGAUCGUAUUCAUCAGCUUUAUUCAGGUGCUCAUGGUAGUUGUGGUCUACUGCAAUAGGGGCAAAUGGCUACGAGUAUUUCCAGCCAACUUCUUGGUCCUUACCGCUUUCACCUUAGUAAAUGCGGUUUCCAUAUCCGUGGCGGACAACGCCUUCAGGUGUAACGUGCUACUAUAUUCGAUCGAGGUGAUCUCCUUAGCCUUCCUGGUGCUGGCCAUUUUUGCAGCACAAAAGUGGAUUAAAUACUCUUGGAGUCGAGCAUUACUGUUGGCAACCGUAAUUCUGCUACCAGCACUAACGCUAAUCGAGUAUUUCACACAAGAUGCUUCAACUCCCAGCAUGCUUGAACUGGGAAUUGUCAUCGCCUUAAUUACUCUAUGUUUUUUCAUCAUCCUUGACUUGAACUCAAUUACGACUGGCAGGAGAGCAAAGUUCUUUUUGAUAACUGACAUUUUCCCAAAAGAUUACGUUUUAGGCGUGUUGGUUUUAUACAUGGACCUGGCUGGAUUAAUACUGGUGAUUGCCGUUACUUUAUUUUCCUCCUUUGACUAAACGAUCGAUAUUGUGUAAAGUAUUGGCUUAAUCUAAAAUUCACUGAGGUGAACAAAAAAUGCUUAAGGACCAAGAAAAUUCAGUUGCGGCUUCCACCAUAAGUCUGUUAACGAACAAUAAGAUGAGUGAAUCUGCUAUCAGAUAGAGAGCAAGGUCCGCCAUUCUGAAAUUACUUAUAUUUAAAGCGUAACAUUGACCACUUUUUUAAUAUAAUUAAUAAAAAACUGUUAUUUUUUGUAUUGUUUUUGUAUCCAAGUAAACUUGAAUAAAAUGAAAUUAGAAAACCUUA